ACUCCCAGCCCACCACCCAUGCCCACCAACCCCCUGAUCCGCUCCACCUUCCCUCCUCCUGCCCCCGAGCCGCCCCACACCACCAAAGCGAUGCCGGAGCCCCACCCCACCACGUGUCGCCGGAGCCCCGCCCAACCACGCGCCAGCGGAGCCCCGCCCCGCCGCGCCACGCGCCGCUAGAGCCCCGCCGCACCACUCGCCGCGACUCCCCACUGCGUCACACCUCCUCCCGCCAUGGCCAACACCUCCAGAUUCCGGCUAGCCAUGGCCUCCCCGCGACGCGCCGCCGAUGGAUCCAGCCAUCCACGGCCUACUCGCGUCACGCCGCCAGUGGAUCCAGCCAUCCACGGCCUCCCUUGAUGCGCCGUCGCCGGAUCCAACCAUCCCGAGCACCGCCCCGCCAUGGUGGUUGGGCUUCCCUUGACCCCCCCUCCCUCCGGCACCGGCCAGCGCCACGCCCGGACCUGACCCCUCCCUGUUCCUCCAUCUCCUCCCUCCCAUCCCGCUGCAUCUCUCCCCUGCUCUUCCUAUCUGACGACAGCCCAAAAUCCAUGCCUCUCGAGCCGCCCCGGGGUCCUCCUCUCCUUCCACAGCCAAACGUAGGUCGGGCGCAUUGUCUCCGACCUCCUUCGGCAUCCACGGCCACGGCGCCACCCCCGGACAUCGGCGCAUGACGUGCGUGUGUGCAGUUCGGUGUGAGCUCAAACGAAGACACAAAUCAGUCCAGUAUGUUCUCUGAUGCAGAAAAAUGGAGGAGAAACCAAUUAUAAAAAAGAAACACAAGACGCAGUUUGGUCUCUCUCGGUGGACUCUCUCUCCUGCUUACAGUUCUUUAAGAGUUUGAUUGAUGUCCUGCAUUGUGGGUCAUGGAGUUUGAUUGAUGUCUUAGUAAAGUUCAUAAAGAAUUGUCUGUUUAGAUUUGCAAUGCAGUGCACAAUAUAGAGGAGUUUACUUUUGUAAAAAAAUUAUACAGAGAAGUUCACUUUUUAUUAUUUUUUGGAGGAAUUGUUUUGCAAAAUAUGGUGUAUAAUUUCUUAAAAUCGAUGCAGCUCACUAAGAACA
Triticum urartu is the source of this 1062-nucleotide long non-coding RNA. RefSeq lists it as uncharacterized. The record is from RefSeq and is a predicted model, not a curated record. Lineage: Eukaryota; Viridiplantae; Streptophyta; Magnoliopsida; Poales; Poaceae.